GCAAGAUUAAAACUCAAAGGAAUAGACGGGGACCCGCACAAGUGGUGGAGCAUGUGGUUUAAUUCGAAGAUACGCGAAGAACCUUACCUAGCCUUGACAUAUUUUAGAACUCCGUAGAGAUACAGAGGUGCCUUCGGGAGCUAAUUUGCAGGUGCUGCACGGCUGUCGUCAGCUCGUGUCGUGAGAUGUUGGGUUAAGUCCCGCAACGAGCGCAACCCUCGUCACUAGUUACUAACGGUUCGGCCGAGGACUCUAGUGAGACUGCCUUCGUAAGGAGGAGGAAGGUGAGGACGACGUCAAGUCAUCAUGGCCCUUACGGCUAGGGCAACACACGUGCUACAAUGGCCAGGACAGUGAGAAGCGAUACCGCGAGGUGGAGCAAAUCUAUAAACCUGGUCUCAGUUCGGAUUGUAGUCUGCAACUCGACUACAUGAAGCUGGAAUCACUAGUAAUCGUAGAUCAGCUAUGCUACGGUGAAUACGUUCCCGGGUCUUGUACUCACCGCCCGUCACACCAUGGGAGUUGAUUUCACCCGAAGCGGGGAAGCUAAACUGGCUACCCUCCACGGUGGAAUCAGCGACUGGGGUGAAGUCGUAACAAGGUA
Molecule: ribosomal RNA, 604 nt
Filed under: uncultured bacterium
Lineage: Bacteria
Description: bacterial SSU rRNA
Rfam family: Bacterial small subunit ribosomal RNA
Source: RNAcentral